This 106-nucleotide small nuclear RNA is filed under the name Castor canadensis (American beaver). Lineage: Eukaryota; Metazoa; Chordata; Mammalia; Rodentia; Castoridae. The record is from RNAcentral.
GUGCUCAUUUCAACAGCACAUAUACUAAAAUAGGAAUGAUACAGAGAAGAUCAGCAUAGCCCUGCACAAGGAUGGUACGUAAAUUUCUGAAACAUUCCAUAUUGAA